GACGAACGCUGGCGGCGUGCUUAACACAUGCAAGUCGAACGGAAAGGCCCUGCUUGCCGGGUACUCGAGUGGCGAACGGGUGAGUAACACGUGGGUGAUCUGCCCUGCACUUCGGGAUAAGCCUGGGAAACUGGGUCUACUACCGGAUAGGAGCCAUUUUUAGUGUGAUGGUUGGAAAGUUUUUUCGGUGUAGGAUGAGCUCGCGGCCUAUCAGCUUGUUGGUGGGGUAAUGGCCUACCAAGGCGGCGACGGGUAGCCGGCCUGAGAGGGUGGACGGCCACAGUGGGACUGAGAUACGGCCCAGACUCCUACGGGAGGCAGCAGUGGGGAAUAUUGAACAAUGGGCGCAAGCCUGAUGCAGCGACGCCGCGUGGGGGAGGACGGCCUUCGGGUUGGAAACUCCUUUCGCUAGGGACGAAGCUUUUUGUGACGGUACCUAGAGAAGAAGCACCGGCUAACUACGUG
This 465-nucleotide ribosomal RNA is filed under the name uncultured bacterium. Its description in RNAcentral is "partial 16S ribosomal RNA". It matches the Rfam family "Bacterial small subunit ribosomal RNA", at positions 28 to 507 of the family's 1533-position model. The record is from RNAcentral.